UCGGUUUCUAUCUAUGAUAAACUUAUACCCAGUACGAAAGGACCGGCAUAAGAAAGCCAAUGCUAAAAGCACGCCUUUACAAUACCACUAACCAAAUUAAACCUUCCACCCCUUUACUUUUUAAACCAAGACAAGGUUAAUUAAGGACACAGCCCUUA
Molecule: ribosomal RNA, 158 nt
Filed under: Thamnophis saurita (eastern ribbonsnake)
Lineage: Eukaryota; Metazoa; Chordata; Lepidosauria; Squamata; Natricidae
Description: partial 16S ribosomal RNA
Source: RNAcentral